AUUGCCCGCUGGCGGCAUGCCUUACACAUGCAAGUCGAACGGCAGCACGGGUGCUUGCACCUGGUGGCGAGUGGCGAACGGGUGAGUAAUACAUCGGAACAUGUCCUGUAGUGGGGGAUAGCCCGGCGAAAGCCGGAUUAAUACCGCAUACGAUCUACGGAUGAAAGCGGGGGACCUUCGGGCCUCGCGCUAUAGGGUUGGCCGAUGGCUGAUUAGCUAGUUGGUGGGGUAAAGGCCUACCAAGGCGACGAUCAGUAGCUGGUCUGAGAGGACGACCAGCCACACUGGGACUGAGACACGGCCCAGACUCCUACGGGAGGCAGCAGUGGGGAAUUUUGGACAAUGGGCGAAAGCCUGAUCCAGCAAUGCCGCGUGUGUGAAGAAGGCCUUCGGGUUGUAAAGCACUUUUGUCCGGAAAGAAAUCCUUGGCUCUAAUACAGUCGGGGGAUGACGGUACCGGAAGAAUAAGCACCGGCUAACUACGUG
RNAcentral lists this ribosomal RNA (486 nucleotides) under uncultured bacterium. RNAcentral describes it as "partial 16S ribosomal RNA". It matches the Rfam family "Bacterial small subunit ribosomal RNA", at positions 34 to 507 of the family's 1533-position model. The record is from RNAcentral.